AGCGUUCCUGUCAGCGUCGAAGCAGUUCGGUAACGAACUGUGGAGCGGCAGGAAGUGAUUAUGCCGGUUUGAGUAACGAUAAAGCAGGUGAGAAUCCUGCUCGCCGAAAACCUAAGGUUUCCUGGGCAAGGUAAAUCCGCCCAGGGUUAGUCGGACCCUAAGGCGAGGCCGAAAGGCGUAGUCGAUGGGAAUCAGGUUAAUAUUCCUGAACCACAGCGUGGUGACGGACCCCUAAGUCGAGUCGCGCGGCUAGAUGUGCGCGUACCGCAAGGUCGAGGGCUUGGACCGAAGCUCGCGGAUGGGGUUCCCCGAAAUAGCCCGCAAACAGUGACCGUACUAAAACUGACACAGGUAGGUGUGGUGAAUAACCUCAGGCGCUCGAGAGAAUGGUAGUUAAGGAAUUAGGCAAAUUGACCCCGUAAGUUCGCGAUAAGGGGGCCCUCCCGCUUCGGCGAAGGGCGCAGAGAAAAGGUGCUGGCGACUGUUUAUCAAAAACACAGGGCUCUGCGAAGCCGCAAGGCGACGUAUAGGGUCUGACGCCUGCCCGGUGCCUGAAGGUUAAAAGGA
Molecule: ribosomal RNA, 567 nt
Filed under: Leptocylindrus danicus
Lineage: Eukaryota; Bacillariophyta; Leptocylindrophyceae; Leptocylindrales; Leptocylindraceae
Description: partial Bacterial large subunit ribosomal RNA
Rfam family: Bacterial large subunit ribosomal RNA
Source: RNAcentral